GAUGAACGCUGGCGGCGUGCUUAACACAUGCAAGUCGAACGAUGAAGCCCAGCUUGCUGGGUGGAUUAGUGGCGAACGGGUGAGUAACACGUGAGUAACCUGCCCUUAACUCUGGGAUAAGCCUGGGAAACUGGGUCUAAUACCGGAUAGGAGCGCCUACCGCAUGGUGGGUGUUGGAAAGAUUUAUCGGUUUUGGAUGGACUCGCGGCCUAUCAGCUUGUUGGUGAGGUAAUGGCUCACCAAGGCGACGACGGGUAGCCGGCCUGAGAGGGUGACCGGCCACACUGGGACUGAGACACGGCACAGACUACUACGGGAGGCAGCAGUGGGGAAUAUUGCACAAUGGGCGAAAGCCUGAUGCAGUGACGCCGCGUGAGGGAUGACGGCCUUCGGGUUGUAAACCUCUUUCAGUAGGGAAGAAGCGAAAGUGACGGUACCUGCAGAAGAAGCCCCGGCUAACUACGUG
This 466-nucleotide ribosomal RNA is filed under the name uncultured bacterium. Its description in RNAcentral is "partial 16S ribosomal RNA". It matches the Rfam family "Bacterial small subunit ribosomal RNA", at positions 28 to 507 of the family's 1533-position model. The record is from RNAcentral.